AGUGGAUAUGAGAAGAAUUCUUCAUGCUUUAGAGUUGAGGCUGGUGAAGAAGGGCAGAAGGAUCUGCUGACUGGACUGACAUAUGGAUACAACUUCAAGUUUUCUGCUCUUGCUUCUGAAUUGGAAAUGAAUGAUUACAAAAUGACUAGCAGAGAGCUGUUACCAAGAUAAGUAUGAGUAUAGCAAGAAUCCCAGAAUCAUAGAAUCCAGGUAUUGAAAGUGACCCUAGCAGUCUAUACAUGAAAGGAUUACCCAGUAUAACAUACUAGGCAAGCCUGUGUUUGAUGAUCUCCAAGGACUGAGAAUAGCUGAUACAUCCCUGAUACAUUCAAGUCUCUUGGUUCAAGUGAAGAAUAUCUUUGGAUAUUGAAAGAGCAAGCAGAUGUGAUCUCUGAGGGAGUGACACAAUCAGAUACCUGUUUUAGGAAUAUCAUUUGGUACUGUGAAGAAGGUAGAUUGCAGAAAUGAGAAGCUCAAGGACUCGUGACACUUCUGCUGUAAUGGACAGAGAACUAAUCUUGAAAGCAAGAAGAUCUGGAUUCAAGAUCUGCAUCUGAAAAGGAGAGAUGAGCAAACCACUAUAACUAUGAGCAAAACACUAAACUUUCAGUGAAGGAGAGCUUAAUAAAACUGAAAAUAAGAAACUCUGGAACUAAUAA
Molecule: long non-coding RNA, 659 nt
Filed under: Monodelphis domestica (gray short-tailed opossum)
Lineage: Eukaryota; Metazoa; Chordata; Mammalia; Didelphimorphia; Didelphidae
Description: lncRNA (ENSMODG00000048332.1)
Source: RNAcentral